UCAAAACACCUUCAAUCACACACACAUCAGCUGCGCCUAUCCUCCUUUCUCUCUCUAUGGCUCCCUCUCUCGUCUCUCCCUCUCUGUUCGGCUGAGGGCGGCGCCGCCUUCGGCGCGCCGCCUCGCCGUCGCCUCCGCUCUCUCUCUCACAAGACUGCCGGAACAAGGUACAGCAGACGCACGCCGCUGUCAAAGCGGUGCGCCGCCGCCGCUGCCUCCGUCGUCCUUGCAGCAGAUCCGCUGCCGCGUCAAGACCACGGCCACCGCCUUUCCUCCCUCUCUAACUCUCACCCUCGUCUCGAUCUCUCUCUGGGCCGACGAACGACGUAAAACGCCGCCGCCUCCCCCUCUUUCGGUCGAUCCAGCAGCCCUAAUGGCUACCGCCGCCGUCGUCCUUGUCUUCCUCCGAUUUCCGGCGAAGCAACCCCCGCGGUGCCGCCGCCGUUCAGCAGCAACGGCGACGUCGCUGCUAUCACGUUACCGCCGCCGCCGACGUCGACGAGCCACCAUAGCUCCGCCGCCGGCCGCCGUCUGAAACCAGAACAGAACCAAGGCUCCGCCGCCUCUCGUCGACCACCGGCAGCCACCGCGGCUGCCGUCCCCCUGACCUCGACUCACACAUACAAAAACAGUGACUCAAGCCUCACAUUCAGUUCAUAAAAUAGCAAAUAGGAUUUGUGCAAUUUCAGUUCACAUGUAACAUAUCUUGUAUCUGUAAAUUAUGAAUUUGCUACUCAUUUUCUUCAUUUAUCAAAGCAUAUGUAAAUCUGAGUUAAUGAGCA
Salvia miltiorrhiza (redroot sage) is the source of this 782-nucleotide long non-coding RNA. RefSeq lists it as uncharacterized. The record is from RefSeq and is a predicted model, not a curated record. Lineage: Eukaryota; Viridiplantae; Streptophyta; Magnoliopsida; Lamiales; Lamiaceae. The transcript is spliced from 3 exons.